Molecule: ribosomal RNA, 515 nt
Filed under: uncultured bacterium
Lineage: Bacteria
Description: partial 16S ribosomal RNA
Rfam family: Bacterial small subunit ribosomal RNA
Source: RNAcentral
GAUGAACGCUGGCGGCGUGCCUAAUACAUGCAAGUCGAGCGAAUGGAUUAAGAGCUUGCUCUUAUGAAGUUAGCGGCGGACGGGUGAGUAACACGUGGGUAACCUGCCCAUAAGACUGGGAUAACUCCGGGAAACCGGGGCUAAUACCGGAUAACAUUUUGAACCGCAUGGAUCGAAAUUGAAAGGCGGCUUCGGCUGUCACUUAUGGAUGGACCCGCGUCGCAUUAGCUAGUUGGUGUGGUAACGGCUCACCAAGGCAACGAUGCGUAGCCGACCUGAGAGGGUGAUCGGCCACACUGGGACUGAGACACGGCCCAGACUCCUACGGGAGGCAGCAGUAGGGAAUCUUCCGCAAUGGACGGAAGUCUGACGGAGCAACGCCGCGUGAGUGAUGAAGGCUUUCGGGUCGUAAAACUCUGUUGUUAGGGAAGAACAAGUGCUAGUUGAAUAAGCUGGCACCUUGACGGUACCUAACCAGAAAGCCACGGCUAACUACGUGCCAGCCGCCGCCGUAA